RNAcentral lists this transfer RNA (73 nucleotides) under Desulforamulus aquiferis. RNAcentral's name for it is "Desulfotomaculum aquiferis tRNA-Val". It matches the Rfam family "tRNA". From Rfam's summary of the family: Transfer RNA (tRNA) molecules are approximately 80 nucleotides in length. Their secondary structure includes four short double-helical elements and three loops (D, anti-codon, and T loops). Lineage: Bacteria; Bacillati; Bacillota; Clostridia; Eubacteriales; Peptococcaceae. The record is from RNAcentral.
CGCGGGAUAGAGCAGUUGGUAGCUCGUCGGGCUCACUAACCGAGGGUCGGGGUUCACGUCCCUCCCGCAACCA